This 1746-nucleotide ribosomal RNA is filed under the name Triticum aestivum (bread wheat). RNAcentral's name for it is "partial small subunit ribosomal RNA". The record is from RNAcentral. Lineage: Eukaryota; Viridiplantae; Streptophyta; Magnoliopsida; Poales; Poaceae.
AUGGCGCACCUACGCUCCGCUACCGACAUUAAGGGCGCCUCUGGCUACAAAGCCGAGCUCACCGACCGCUGCUUUCGUUGCCUCCACAAGUUCCACCGGGUUGCAUUCUGUCGCAACCGUUCGCUCUGCAUCCAUUGUCUCGACGACAGUGAUGGCCACUCCGCGCGUUGCUGCCCUCGGAGGCGCUUCCCUCGCGUCCCUCUUGAAACCCUUGACGCGGCUGCUCCACCCCCUGCUCGUCGCCGCCAGCCACCGGCUCCGCCUCGUGCUCUAUCACAGCCGGUCCACUCACGCCUCUUUUUCCCCCCUGGCCACCCCGUCACCAACCGUGCUCCGGUGCACUCGCGGCUUGCGUUCCCCCAAGACGACUCCCCCACCGCCACCAACUCGCCCUCCCUGCAAGCUUCAGAGGCUAUGGCUUCCCUUGGCGUUGCUGGCGCGCUCCCCGCGGGGGACCUGCGCCGGCCCAGGAUGUCACGCUGCCUGGUCGACUUCGAUCAGGACAUGGCCUUGGAGGAAGCCCACCCCAAGGAAUCAGCGCUGGUGCUCAUCGUAGCUGGCACUCACCCGGACCUCGUGCCUGGCAACAUCAAGGAGGCCAUCAUCGCCGAGUUCCCGGACAUGCCGGAUCUCGCGCUACACGUCUUCCUUAUGCAUCCGGAGGCGUUCUUCGUCCACUUUGCAGACAGCCGUUGGUUCGCUUCUCUGGCGGAGCGCGACUUCGUGCAUUUUCAAGGCACCCCCAUCCUCGUCAAGCGCUGGAGCAGGUUCAUCACCAUCGCCGCCGCUGAUCUUGAGGAUCCGCCGUCUGGGGUAGCGGGCGCUGUUGCUUGCCCUUACGGCGUUUCCUCGGCCGUGCUGACGGAGCCAACGGGAAGCGACGUGCUGGGUGUACAUGACGCUGUCAGGCAUGCCGUGGGGCAUGGCGUUACGGCUAGCGCCGCGCUGGAGAUCUCGUCUGCGGGCGCAUGCACUCCUGCCUUGCGUGAUGUUCUGGUUCAGCACUCUGCACCCGCUGCUGUGGUGCAUGCAUCAGAAGUUCUGGUCCCUGCUGCUGCCCCCGGAGGCGAGGUUACCACUGCCAUGUUCGAUAGCCUAGCCCUAGCUCUCGACACUUCGGAGGCUCCGCUGUUGGCUUCCUCUUCGGGCAUCGCUAUCUUCAAGACGUCGCUGCCGGGGACCCCUGGGAUGCAUAUGACCGAAGCACAGGUCAACUCUGACCGUGAGGCUCACGUGACCCUUGCAGGUGCUGUGGAGAUGCGAUCGCCAUGCAACGCGGGCUCUGCCGCGCUGCUCCCUUCGGCACCGGCCCAGCUUGCUGUCGCGCCAGAUGGGCCAAAUCUGCUCCAACCCCACACGCACGAGCCUACCACCCCGUCGGCCUUCAUGCAGCUGGCCAUGAUGCAGAUCUCUCCGGGCCUGUUGCCGGCUUCCUCUCACCCAGCCCAACGGGUUCCUAGGGCGAAAAAGAACCCGGUGGCUGCUUCGAGAAGAAGCCGUAGACUCCAGGGGCGUAGCGCCUCUGUCUCCGGCCGCGGAAACCGCACCAUGCGCUUAGCCAGAAAGCUAGUGAUGUCCAAGAGAGGGCUGGCCAUAGCAGAAAAAGGAGACGAAUCAGAGGAGGAGGAGCUCGAGAAAUACCGCCGGAUCUUUGACCUGCCACUCUCUCUGGAGCAGAUUUCUGCUCUGUCCGCGCUUGCCAAGGCAGGCAAGAUGCAGGGGAGGAAGGCCGUAAGCAUGGCCUAG